This 200-nucleotide unclassified non-coding RNA is filed under the name soil metagenome. Its description in RNAcentral is "partial contains internal transcribed spacer 2 and large subunit ribosomal RNA". The record is from RNAcentral.
CUUGAAAUGCAGGUGCAGCUGGACAUUCUUCUGAGCUAAAAGCAUAUUUAUUUAGUCCCGUCAAACGGAUUAUUACUUUUGCUCUAGCUAAUAUAAAGGUCGAAUGUACUAUACGCUGACUGAUGCAGGAUUACCAAGUUUUACCUAGUAAAACUUGUAAACUCGAUCUCAAAUCAAGUAAGACUACCCGCUGAACUUAA